Non-coding RNA from Schistosoma mansoni, 48 nucleotides. The record is from Rfam. NCBI's taxonomy places the organism in Eukaryota, Metazoa, Platyhelminthes, Trematoda, Strigeidida, Schistosomatidae.
AUCCAGCUGACGAGUCCCAAAUAGGACGAAACGCGCGUCUAACUGGAU